This 330-nucleotide ribosomal RNA is filed under the name uncultured bacterium. RNAcentral's name for it is "bacterial SSU rRNA". It matches the Rfam family "Bacterial small subunit ribosomal RNA", at positions 568 to 898 of the family's 1533-position model. The record is from RNAcentral.
UUCGUAGGCGGUGCGGCAAGUCAGAAGUGAAAUCUCUGGGCUUAACCCAGAGGCUGCUUCUGAAACUGCUGUGCUUGAGUGUGGGAGAGGCGCGUGGAAUUGCAGGUGUAGCGGUGAAACGCGUAGAUAUCUGCAGGAACACCCGUGGCGAAAGCGGCGCGCUGGACCACAACUGACGCUGAGGAACGAAAGCUAGGGGAGCAAACAGGAUUAGAUACCCUGGUAGUCCUAGCCCUAAACGAUCAGGACUUGGGGUGCCGCCCGUUCGGGCGUCGUCCCGGAGCUAACGCGUUAAGUCCUGCACCUGGGGAGUACGGUCGCAAGACUGAA